Molecule: transfer RNA, 86 nt
Filed under: Pterocles namaqua (Namaqua sandgrouse)
Lineage: Eukaryota; Metazoa; Chordata; Aves; Pterocliformes; Pteroclidae
Description: tRNA-Asp
Source: RNAcentral
GAAGUGUUAGUAAAACAAUUACAUAGUCGUUGUCAAGACUAAAUUACAGGCGCAAACCCUGUACACCUCAUAUGGCUAACCACUCA